CGCGAAUCGGAAAAUCGAGACAAAGAUAAAGAAAAGUUCAUUAUCAAAUGCAUAAAGAACAACGGAAAAAUAAAGCCGCUGAAUAAGUGAAAACCGAAAGGGAAAUGCUAGUGAAAAUUACAACCGGACCCUGCCCUUGAAAGUAAAAAGCAACCCACUGGAAUUCACUUCACGCACAAAACGACAUUAGAACGCAGCAGGAUGUGGAAAGUGUAGUAGAAAAGGCAGCAGACAACACGCAACGAAGGGCGGAAAACGUGGAAAUGACUAGCUAAUUAAUUAGCUAAGUAGGCAAAGAAAAGCGGCGAAAAAGGUGUACCUUCUAAACCAACAAUAAAUUCCGAUUUGUUGAAAAAUUUAUACCCAGCCAAGGCUUAAAAUGACAUCAUACGCAAAUGACACAACGGGCGCAGCAACAACCACAGCAACAUCAGCCGCAGCAGCAGCAGCAUCAGCUGGCGCAGUAGGAGCCGCAACAACAGUAGGCACCGCCCCCCAAUCAGCUGUGGGGGGCGUGGCCACUGCAGCUGAUUCAUCCAAAGUCAAGAGCCGCGACAAUUUGUCCAUUAGCCGUACAAUAUAUGGCGACGAAGAUGGCAAUAGUAGCGAUGGACGCGAGAAGGCCGACACCACGCCGGAAAAUAUCAAGAAAAUCGCCGAAAUCAUGGACAGUCCGAAUGGCACGACCUCGGCCAACUCGCCCAUCCCCUCCCCCCGACACGUGCAACUCAGGAAUCCAAUGAAUCCCGGCUACGUGGGCCUCGGGGCCGCCAUCGACAUCGACGAGUCCUGCGGCAAGUUCUGUCUUGGCAAGCCGCCACCAUCGCCGGCCGAGAAAGCGGCGGCACAAAGCAGAGCGAACCAUCAACAUGGCACUCCAGCCGGCAACAGCUACUCCAACACCAACCAUAAAUCCGCUGCCGAUGAGGAGGAGAACUCGAGCGAGUCGAAUGCAACCACGAAAGCGGCGCUAGCCUUCACCAUUGAUCAUUUCGAUGCCUCGGAGAACGAUUCUGCGGCUCAGGCGGCGCGCUACAAGAACAUGAUGGAGCGUUUCCAGAGUCGCCACAAGCGAGGUGCCUCCAUGUCGAAGCUGGAGACGGAAAAGGAUAACACCACGACCACCUCGAUCAGUGGACGGCAGUCGCAGAGGAGCAGUUUGGAUGCAGGCAGCAGUAUGGCGGAUGAUCUAUCCUCGCUGACGGCAGCCACGCCCAGUAGCGAACAGGCGCCUCCGGUGCAGGUGAAGAUGCGGGUGCGGGACCGCAGUGCGUCCCGGGUGAGAGACGCUUCCAAGCGGCACAGUUGGUCCCCGAGGAGUUCGGCCAAUGCGCCGGAACCAAGUGCAGCACCUGCUGCUCCCAGACCCACAAGUCGAUCCAAACUGCCACCACCGCCGGCGGCGACCAAGGGAACCUCCAAUCUGGUGGCCAAUCGCACGACCAACCAGUUCACACCCCGCUCCACCGCCAUGCAGUUGGCACUUCGCCAGGUGGAGAUGCUCUGUCCACAGCCACCGCUGGCGGAUGGCAAACCGCUGGCCGAGAAUGAUGCAGUCAGCGAAGCGGGCACCUACACCCUCGAUGGGGAUAACUAUACGGAGGAGCAGAAGGAUCUCAUGAACAUCGAUAGAAAUGGAAAGGGAGCGGGUGCCAAGCAGCGUCCCAAACAAUUGCCAGUAAAAUCAAACCGGGGAAGCAAUGUCCUGGAGGUGAACUACUACCAUGAAACGCCACUACAGGAACAGCUACCACAGCAACUGCCAGCUCAAAGGAGCUCAACAGGUGCCUAUCUGGAUCAACUAAAGAGUCGCGUGCUGCGUCCGCAGAUUCCCGCAUCGCCUCCCACUCCUCCAUCGCCGGCAGGAGAUAUGGGCUGCUUUACUAGUGUGACCACCAGCGGAGUGCUGGCCAAACAGCGGGCCUUGGAUACCCAUCCCAAGCUCACCCGCCACUCGCACAGCUUGUCCACCUCGCAGAUCGACAGCUCGGAGUACGUGAGCAAUGAGGCUAAACUGCGGCACACACAGGCCUUGUCCGGAUCGGCUACGGAUCGCCAGAAGGCCGAGUACCGCCUGAAUGUGUUCACUACUAGCACCAAUCAGCAGCACCAGUUGCCGGAGACACCCACCACGCCCACCCAGAACUCGGAGGCCGCCCUGCUGCAGACGGCGCAGACCAAGCAGGACUGGAUCCAGGAGUGGGCCCGCAAUGCCCGAGCCAGGAGUCUGGCGCAGGAUGUGAGCGGCACAAGCGCCAGCCGCCGGAGGCAGCAGCAACAGCAGCAGGCCCAAGCGCAGGCACAGCAACUAAUGACACGCAGCUACAAUUGCUCGGACACGUGCGGCGACUCCUUGACGGAUGACAGCCUGAGUUUGUACAACCAGCAGCGACAGUAUGCGGCGGCAGCCAAGCUCAAUCGCAAUAUGGCCGAGCGGUAUCGUCUGCUGGGCGACUGUGACUACGCCAGCGAUCCGGCGUUGUGCAGCCAUGGCGGAGGAGGCGGCGGUCAGAUGGUGGAGCCACCCUACAAGCCACCCAAGAGUCCCAGCAAGAUUCCAUCGCCGCUGCACACGCUGGGACGUGCGCGCAGUGCCAGUCGCCCGCGUCCCCCAACGGAUGCCUAUUUGGAGCAAACAGCUGCGGCUAUUAGUAACCUGCAGCAGUCACUCUCCCGCAGGAGCUCUGUUAAAUCCCCAGCUCAGAGUAGUCCUCAGCAUAGCUUGGAAUCUGGAAUGACCGCCGGAGCAGGCGGCGGCUAUAGACGAUCUCCGCUGCACCGGGUGCUCAUGACCAGCAGCAUCAACGAGGCGCAGCUGCAGUUGCUCACCAGUGGCGAGUACCUUCUCAAGCAAUUGCGUCGCCGGAAGAACUCCCUGGAGUAUGAUCCUAACCAGGAAGUGGAGCUGGUUGAGCCAGCUGCUGCCCCCUUGUCGCCGCUGCGUCGAUCGAGUAGCUUCCAGCAGCAGCAGGGUCAGCAUCCAGUGCGUCAGGCGCGUCCUAAUUUCCAGAACCUCUACACACCGCCCGCUGCCCGUCACGCCCACGCCUUGAGCACUGUUCACCAGCAGCAGCAACUGAAGAAAUCCGCCAGCAGCAACAAUUUCGAGCAGGCCUACAGCGACUACGAUAAUGAGUUGCAGUAUUAUAUAAACGAUGAGGAUGAAAUGGGCACCACUGGGGCUUACUAUUCCAGCAACGAAGAAGAUGAGGCAGAGGAGAACCAUGAAGACGCCCAAGGCUCAGUUCCGCUGAGUAAUACGCGCAUGAACAAGGCCCUACUGAUGCGGAUCGAGAGGAGCAAACAAAAGGUGGCUGGAUCACAGGCUCCAGCUAAGCCCACAUCAGCACCAGCGGGCAAGCUGCAUAUGGCACAAAGUGGAGCUGGUUUGGUGGCCUGUCCCAACACUCCAGAAAUGCCGCGUCGAGGAAUUAAGAGUGCGCCGAGGGUGGCUCCAGGAUCGGGCAAUCGAAACACCCGACAGUCAAUGCCCAGGGAAACGAGCCUCAGUCGAUUGGCCCAGCAGGUGCCCAGUUCGCUGGCCAAUGCCAAAAAGCAGCUGCUGCAAACGGCCAAUGCUGGUGUGAACUCCAAUUCGAGGGAUCAGCGCGUGCAACCCAAAUACCUGGACAUCUCCAAGUACAAGUCGGCGCAGUCCAAUAAUUUUCUGCGCAAAAAUGACGCCAAAAGUACGCUGAAGCCAGCGGAUCAAAUGAAACGAAGUCCCAGUGCAUCUUCCAUGGGUUUGAGUCGCGGCGAGGGAACGCGGGCCAGUAAUCGGAGUGUGCGCAGUACUGCCUCCGCGAUGAACACCAGCACAACAUCUCUAGGUGGCGGAAAUCCUGGAUCAAGAAACUCGUCUGCUAUGCGGCGCGACGCUUCAAUGAACAAACAAAAGGAAGCCGAAAUGGCCAUGUGGAAGCGUCGAUCCACCUACGAUCCCAUGAAGGCAGCCGCCGAGGAUCGACGCAGGAAGGAAGAAGCGCGACGUGCUCAAAACGAAGCUCAGCGACAGAUUAACGACGAGGCCGAUGAUAUGCCUUUUGAGAGACCAUCACGCUCCCACUAUCGCCGUGGACAGUUAUGACCAACGGAUGGUGUGCUAGUUACCGAUUUCUGAGCCAUCAACCUACACCUAAACAUUCAGUUGACUAUCUUUCCACGAAACCUAAAUAGAAAACCAAAUACUUUCCACUACAAAAACAUGCCACACGAUCUAACACGGUGCAAGCAGCAGCGGCAGCAGCAGAUUGUAUCACUAGGAUCCAAUUCUAGUGCCAGAUACAAUCGCCAAAUCGAAUCGAACAACGAUCAUUUUGAGAAGGGAUCUAUCUCGCGUAGUAUCCACAAAAAAAAACGAUUUUCCAAAGCAACGACAACUAGAAACAAAUAUAAAAUUACGACAGCCAACCUGCAGACGAUUGUGGGGCUAUCAUUUGCCAAUGUAAUAGAGAAUUCUUCAAGAACCAGUAUGUCCUGCGCCCAGCCAACAAUUUAACCAUCACGAGCGGGGGCAACAGCUACAGUCCUCGAAACUCCGUGGAAAACGACGCCUGGACGCUUGGUGAAUCCUCCGAGUUUGGGGA
RNA transcript from Drosophila rhopaloa, 4586 nucleotides. RefSeq lists it as uncharacterized. The record is from RefSeq and is a predicted model, not a curated record. The transcript has 8 exons. NCBI's taxonomy places the organism in Eukaryota, Metazoa, Arthropoda, Insecta, Diptera, Drosophilidae.